This 732-nucleotide ribosomal RNA is filed under the name uncultured bacterium. RNAcentral's name for it is "bacterial SSU rRNA". It matches the Rfam family "Bacterial small subunit ribosomal RNA", at positions 773 to 1501 of the family's 1533-position model. The record is from RNAcentral.
CAGGAUUAGAUACCCUGGUAGUCCACGCCGUAAACGAUGAGUGCUAAGUGUUAGGGGGUUUCCGCCCCUUAGUGCUGCAGCUAACGCAUUAAGCACUCCGCCUGGGGAGUACGGCCGCAAGGCUGAAACUCAAAGGAAUUGACGGGGGCCCGCACAAGCGGUGGAGCAUGUGGUUUAAUUCGAAGCAACGCGAAGAACCUUACCAGGUCUUGACAUCCCGCUGCCCGGCAUGGAGACAUGCCUUUCCCUUCGGGGACAGCGGUGACAGGUGGUGCAUGGUUGUCGUCAGCUCGUGUCGUGAGAUGUUGGGUUAAGUCCCGCAACGAGCGCAACCCUUAAUCUUAGUUGCCAUCAUUCAGUUGGGCACUCUAAGGUGACUGCCGGUGACAAACCGGAGGAAGGUGGGGAUGACGUCAAAUCAUCAUGCCCCUUAUGACCUGGGCUACACACGUGCUACAAUGGACGGUACAGAGGGCUGCAAACCCGCGAGGGGGAGCCAAUCCCACAAAACCGUUCCCAGUUCGGAUUGCAGGCUGCAACUCGCCUGCAUGAAGCCGGAAUCGCUAGUAAUCGUGGAUCAGCAUGCCACGGUGAAUACGUUCCCGGGUCUUGUACACACCGCCCGUCACACCACGAGAGUUUGUAACACCCGAAGUCGGUGGGGUAACCCUUACGGGAGCCAGCCGCCGAAGGUGGGACAGAUGAUUGGGGUGAAGUCGUAACAAGGUAACC